This 468-nucleotide ribosomal RNA is filed under the name uncultured bacterium. RNAcentral's name for it is "partial 16S ribosomal RNA". It matches the Rfam family "Bacterial small subunit ribosomal RNA", at positions 28 to 507 of the family's 1533-position model. The record is from RNAcentral.
GACGAACGCUGGCGGCGUGCUUAACACAUGCAAGUCGAACGGAAAGGCCCUGCUUGUGUGCGGUGCUCGAGUGGCGAACGGGUGAGUAACACGUGAGUAACCUGCCCUUGACUUUGGGAUAACUUCACGAAACUGGGGCUAAUACCGUAUAGGAGCUCCUGCUGCAUGGUGGGGGUUGGAAAGUUUCGGCGGUUGGGGAUGGACUCGCGGCUUAUCAGCUUGUUGGUUGGGUAGUGGCUUACCAAGGCUGUGACUGGUAGCCGGCCUGAGAGGGUGACCGGCCACAUUGGGCCUACGAUACGGACCAGACUCCUACGUGGGGCAGCAGUGGCGAAUAUUGCACAGUGGGCGGAAGCCUGAUGAAGAAACGUCGCGUUUGUAAUGACGGCCUUUGGGUUGUAAACCGCUUUAGCCUGUGACGAAGCGUGAGUGACGGUAAUGGGUGAAUAAGCACCGGCUAACUACGUG